Molecule: ribosomal RNA, 91 nt
Filed under: Jaculus jaculus (lesser Egyptian jerboa)
Lineage: Eukaryota; Metazoa; Chordata; Mammalia; Rodentia; Dipodidae
Source: RNAcentral
GUCUAUGCCAAUACCACACUGAAUGCACCUGACAUCUGAUCUCAGUAGCUAAGCAGGGUUGGGCCUGGUUAGGACUUGGAUGGGAGAAAUU